AUUGAACGCUGGCGGCAUGCUUUACACAUGCAAGUCGAACGGUAACAGGGUGCUUGCACCGCUGACGAGUGGCGAACGGGUGAGUAAUGCGUCGGAACGUGCCGAGUAGUGGGGGAUAACGCAGCGAAAGUUGUGCCAAUACCGCAUACGUACUGAGGUAGAAAGUGGGGGACCUUCGGGCCUCACGCUAUUCGAGCGGCCGACGUCUGAUUAGCUAGUAGGUGAGGUAAAGGCUCACCUAGGCGACGAUCAGUAGCGGGUCUGAGAGGAUGAUCCGCCACACUGGGACUGAGACACGGCCCAGACUCCUACGGGAGGCAGCAGUGGGGAAUUUUGGACAAUGGGCGAAAGCCUGAUCCAGCCAUGCCGCGUGUCUGAAGAGGCCCUCGGGUUGUAAAGGACUUUUGUCAGGGAGGAAAUCCCUAGUGCUAAUAACACUGGGGGAUGACAGUACCUGAAGAAUAAGCACCGGCUAACUACGUGCCAGCCGCCGCGGUAA
Molecule: ribosomal RNA, 499 nt
Filed under: uncultured bacterium
Lineage: Bacteria
Description: partial 16S ribosomal RNA
Rfam family: Bacterial small subunit ribosomal RNA
Source: RNAcentral